This 369-nucleotide ribosomal RNA is filed under the name uncultured bacterium. RNAcentral's name for it is "bacterial SSU rRNA". It matches the Rfam family "Bacterial small subunit ribosomal RNA", at positions 505 to 870 of the family's 1533-position model. The record is from RNAcentral.
GUGCCAGCAGCCGCGGUAAUACGUAGGGUGCGAGCGUUGUCCGGAAUUAUUGGGCGUAAAGGGCUCGUAGGCGGUUUGUCGCGUCGGGAGUGAAAACCAGGUGCUUAACACCUGGCCUGCUUCCGAUACGGGCAGACUAGAGGUAUGCAGGGGAGAACGGAAGUUCCUGGUGUAGCGGUGAAAUGCGCAGAUAUCAGGAGGAACACCGGUGGCGAAGGCGGUUCUCUGGGCAUUACCUGACGCUGAGGAGCGAAAGUGUGGGAGCGAACAGGAUUAGAUACCCUGGUAGUCCACACCGUAAACGUUGGCGCUAGGUGUGGGACUCGAUUCCACGAGUUCCGUGCCGCACGCUAACGCAUUAACGCGCCC